This 909-nucleotide long non-coding RNA is filed under the name Canis lupus familiaris (dog). Its description in RNAcentral is "lncRNA (ENSCAFG00845026317.1)". Lineage: Eukaryota; Metazoa; Chordata; Mammalia; Carnivora; Canidae. The record is from RNAcentral.
CUUCCCGAGAGCGGAGCCGACCCCCGCGGGGCGGGGCGGGGCGGGGCGGGGCGCGGCGGGGGAGCUGGGAAGGCCGGCCGGGGAGGCGGCGGAGCCCGUGCUCCCGCCCCAGCUCCUCUCCCGCAGCAGCCGUGCCGCCCCCGCCCCCCCGGUCUCGGACCCUGCACGCGGGUGGCGAGGGGGCAGCGCGGGCGCGGCGGCGGCCGGGCUCCCAAGUCACGUUCGUUCGCUGCUGCUUUCCCAUCCCCUGCCUCCUCGCCCCUCCUCCCCUCCUCCCUCACCCCAGCCGGCUCCGGAGGCGAUUCCCCUCUAGUGACUGAGACGAUCGCAUCUGGGCGAGCGGCGCUUCGCCUCGCUCGCGUCUUUGUCUCCUCCUCCUCCUCCUCCUGCGAGGCUCUGGGGCCGCGCGCAGGGUCUGCAGCAGCCGCCGCAGCCGCCGGAGCCCAGCGGGGCUCUGCACGGCCGCCCGGGGCCGCACCCUCGCUCGGCGGAGGCGCCGGAGGACGCCGGCGAGCCCCGCGAGCCCCCGCGAGCCCCCGCGAGCCAGCCCCGCACCGCCCGCGUCCCGCGCUCCGCCGCCGCCGCGACCCGGCACGAGCCCUCCCGGCCGGGGCUUGGGGUGGGCGGCCCGGCCCGGCCAGCCGCGGGGUGGGGAGCGCGGCCGCCGCAGUUCUGGCAGCUGCACACCCCCAGGCAGACGCAUCCAACGCCUCCUCCCUGCGCCAGGAGGAUGGAGCAGCCGCCCCGGCCCGGGACUGGCGCAAGGUACCCAAGCAAGGACAGGAAUAAUGAAGAGACACGUGUGUUAGUUGCAACCUUCUGAACCAAGCAAGAAGGAAAUCAACAGUGUGGACAGGGCUGGAACCGUUGGCACGCUUGCUUGUUGGAGUGAAUGAGGAAUGGGCUUGU